GUUAAGACUUUCUUUAUGGAACCAAGUCCAUUAGUUGCUUCUUUAAUUGGUUUGAAUGGCCAUAUAAUUUUGAAUUGGUUUGGAGUGACUUGGUCAGCGUGGGACUGUAUUAAGUUGCUGGGUUUGGAAUGGCUGGGAAGGUGGUAGUGGAAUACUGGAAUUGGGUUCAAGAGGUGGCAACCGUGGCAUCUUCAUUUUGGAGGAUUUUGGAAAGUCACGUUUGGGUGUGGCUUAUUCACUUUUGGGAUUUUGUUGUAUUUCAAUUAUGUU
This 270-nucleotide long non-coding RNA is filed under the name Olea europaea (common olive). Its description in RNAcentral is "long non-coding RNA (OEUR_LNC012568)". Lineage: Eukaryota; Viridiplantae; Streptophyta; Magnoliopsida; Lamiales; Oleaceae. The record is from RNAcentral.